UCGUCUAGCGACUGCGGAGGACAUUA
RNAcentral lists this ribosomal RNA (26 nucleotides) under Ramaria sp. 4 AK-2012. RNAcentral describes it as "partial 18S ribosomal RNA". The record is from RNAcentral. Lineage: Eukaryota; Fungi; Basidiomycota; Agaricomycetes; Gomphales; Gomphaceae.